AAAAAAAAAAAAAAAAGCAUUUUGGUUCUUAUUUAUUUGGGUAGUUUGUCCAAGGGUUUUGAUGUCCCUACUAUGCGCCACAGACAAUAUAAACAAGGGAAAAUUACUAUCUAGUUCUUGCAUUUUAACGAAAUCAACUAUUUGAUCCCUAUAUUUUAGAAAAUAUAUUAUUUAGUCCCUAUAUUUUGCUUCUGUUAAACUAUUUAGUCCCUCUGUCAAAUUCUUUUUGUUAGUCAAUGUUUGUCAAACUAUAAUUUUGUCCCUCUAUUUUAGUAAAAGUAAUUAAUUGGUCUUUAUAUUCUGAAAAAUACUGCUAUGUAGUCCCUCUAUUUUAGUGAAACUAAUUAGUUAGUCCUGACAUUUUGAAAACAUAAUAUUUUGAAAAAUAU
Molecule: unclassified non-coding RNA, 389 nt
Filed under: Hevea brasiliensis (rubber tree)
Lineage: Eukaryota; Viridiplantae; Streptophyta; Magnoliopsida; Malpighiales; Euphorbiaceae
Source: RNAcentral